This 3085-nucleotide long non-coding RNA is filed under the name Lynx pardinus (Iberian lynx). The record is from RNAcentral. Lineage: Eukaryota; Metazoa; Chordata; Mammalia; Carnivora; Felidae.
GUAAUAUUACGUGCCUGCCAUCCUUAUCCUAUGCCAGAGGUACACCACCAGUCUCACCCCCAUUCCGGCGUGGAGUUCUCUGAGUUCGGUGGCACUUGGGAUAUUCCACGUCAGUGCCAUGGGAAGAAAAGGGUAAGCAAAAAGCAGAAGGAUUAAUGCAAAAAUAUAUACAUCUAUAUAUCUGAUGUUCUAGUAUCCAAUUGCUCCUGCUUCAGCCUUUUAUCCAAAGCCUUGAGAGGGAUCUGCCUCAUCCAGGAGCUUCUCCUGCUUCGUUAGAGUAUCUUCGUUUUCUGUAUCAGACGCUGGCACUCCACGCCAGUGCACGGCUCCAUGGAAUGCCUGCUGUUGGACACUUGCAGACCUCUGCCACCAAACAACCUCCUGCAUUGGAAAUCGGGGGACUCCUCCAGGAUCUUAUGCGCGCUUGCUGUUUGAAGCUGCAGAAAAGUGAAUAAUCAAUUAAGUAUUGAUUUCUUGUAAGAUUUGGUAAAUUUCAAAGGCAAGACAAAGAGGAUGGCUUAAGGAAACACUGCAGGGACUUGGCGUAAAUUAGACAACUAACGGAAGCGCAGAAUAAAAUAACACCUCAACUGAAGAUUUCCUUGGAAGAAUUAGCACUAGCUAUUGGAAGACAAUGGUGGAUUUAAUCAAAACAGCAGGCAUGCAAGAAUUUUACCCGUGAACCAGAAAAAGGAGCUAAUUAUAACCACCUUUUUAAUGGAGCUAAUUUGACUGAAUGGAUGCAAAUGUGCUUUAUUUAUGGAUGAAGAAGCAAGCCUUACUGCAAUGAUCUUGGGAUCAUCGUAUCUGCUAAGCUUUGCAGCUCCUGUUACCUUCAGUACAUUUUUAUUUCCGGAGAAGGUAUUUAUAUGUAAACAACAGCUAACCAUGCAAAAGAUUCAUCGGGACAAUAUACUAUGGUAUAUGAGAUAUAAUCAUAAUUUUGCAGCCUUUCAGGAUUUCCCCUAACUUGGGGGUUUUGCAACCUUUGCGUGCAAUGGGUUAUGGUAAACAAUAAAUGAAUGAUGUUAAACUGUUGUGAUUUUUCAAUGUGUAAUGUAUUAACCUUAGCUUUCUUAACAUGUUGAUUCAGAAUUAUUUGGCAAUUAAUCCAUUAGGAAAGGAAGGGAAUUGUUGGGUGGGGUUUUUUAAAUGCAUUUGUAGUCUUCUUAGAGAUCGGAAUGUAUAGGUCCCACCAGCCCAUGAGCUCUAUAAUUAUAAAAGAAUGGUAAAAAUUUUUGACAAUUUGAGAAAUUGGUUUUAUAAUGGGAACAAUGUGUUAUGAUCAGUAAAAAGAGAAUUGUUAUGUUUUCUCUGGGAGUAGAAUGUUCUUGAGUGGUUAACUCCUCUGUUGCUGAUGAGAAGUAAGUAUCUUGUAACUGGCAAGAAAGAGGGAUUGUAAUGACAAUGCUUUGUUCCUAGCCAUCCUCACAUUGCAGGCUGAAGUGCAUUUUAAACAUUUCCUUCUCUUUCUAUUAUUUUCUUUCUCUAUUUUUCUUCUUUUCAUCAUUUUUUGCUGUCUUGCAAUCUAUGUUCCCUGAGCAACCAUAGGAACCAAGUUACAUUAAGCUUCAACACAAAGACCUUGUAAGAAUAAUGAAUCCUCAUUUGCAUCGACAUUUGUAUUCAGAUUUGCCAGGCUAUAAACUUGGCAGAUCAAGCGGAAUAUUAAGUAGAGGCUUCCAUGGUAAAUUGUGGCUCUUGAAAUUGCUAAACUCCCCCCCUUUUUUUCUAUCUGUGGUGGCAGGUGAAGUCUCAUGACUACUUGCUUAAGAAGCACAUUGGCCCCUUCAUCUUUCACUAUAUGAUGUCAAUUUCAAGCGGAAGAGGGAAAAACCAGUAGUAGGUAUUCUAGCCGAAGGUACAAUACGACAUGUGACUGGAACAUUAACUAAAGGCCAGAGACCACGAGAGAGAGGCAUCUUGAAGCAAUUGAAUGGUGUAGGGAAAUUAAUUAUCAUAUGUUGGGCUAAGGUUUGAUUUUUCUGGCAUAUUCAAAAUAUAUUGAUCUCAUAAAAGUUCACACUCAUUUUUAAACAUUUCUAAAGGUUAUAUAGCGAGGACCGAGGUAGCUCUUUACUUGUGCAACACUGCCAGUUGGAGUCAUCAUCGCUGGUCUACUUGUGCCCAUUCUUGAAAUACUUAAAAUGCCUUAUUUUAAUAAGUCACUAUGGAUUGACUGACUCAACCCUUAGCUUUGCUUGAUUCUGAAGUAGUAAAGUAGGAACAGUCACAAUUACUUCUGCGUAAGUUCAGAAAUAUGACCCAUAAGGCCAAAUCUACAAUACAGUAAACAAUGGGGUGAAAAAUGUAGACUUUAAUUUCCAUGUUUGGUCCAAUCUAUGCAAUGCCAAACAAGUGAGUAAUUGGAAACAUUUGUGCAUGACUUAAUUUUUCAUGCAUUAUCCCAUUGUUUCAGAAUCUUAUAAACAGAGCCCAAACCUAUGACCUAUUAACAAAUUCUCACUUCUUGCCAUUUUCUUUCUCUUAAGGACCCUUCACGAGUAGGGAGCAAUAAAAUGUAUUAGAAGAUCAGCCUUGAAAUGAACUUACGAUGGACAUCUUAACAAUGGCUUUUCCUUAUUAAAUGUGUGGGUUUUUUUUCAAUUUAACUAGUGUAAAUGAUGAAAUGUAGAUUGGGUCUAUUCUAAAGAUAUUCCUUUAUGGUAUAUCAUAAAGAAUUGUGAGAUUUUAGUAACUACCAUAGCAAUUGACUCAACUCUUACUUUAAUUUGAGGUAAGCUUUAAUUGUAUGUGGUGAAAUGGGAGAAUACUUCAUGAAUGAUGUUGGACUCUUUUUGGAAAAUGUGCACCAGUAAAUAUUUAGACUGGAGGAUCACAUUUCAUAACCUUCCAUAAACUUAUAAAACUAUUUAUAAGAGACUUGCCAAAACAUGUAUAUUAGUAUGAUUUAUAUUAAUAUACUACAAGGUGGCAUAUUCUAAAGUUGGUAUUAGGUAGUCUUAAUAGAACUGGGUUUUCGACUCUGAAAAGUAAAAUGCAACUUAUGACUUUUUGAGAAUUGCAUGUUUGCAUUUCACAAUCUCAUCAUUUUUAAGAGAAAUAAGCUAUUAGAUAAUUUGAU